AUAUAAAAUUUAUUACUUAUAAAAAUUUUUAUUUUUAUGAAAAAAUUAAAAUUAUUACAUAACUAAGUUAAAUUUGUUACAUAACUUAAUUAAAUUUGUUACAUAACUUAAUUAAAUUUGUUACAUAACUUAAUUAAAUUUGUUACAUAACUUAAUUAAAUUUGUUACAUAACUUAAUUAAUUUUAUUAUAUAAAAAAAAUUAAUUUUAUUAUAUAACUAAAAUAUAUUUUUUUCUGGAUAAACCUCUAUCCUUCUUCAAAAAAAAAAAAAAAAAAAAAAAAAAAAAAAAAAAAAAAAAAAAAAGAAAGAAGAUAACCAUGCAACCACAAGUAGAUCAACCGAAAAAAACGGAAACCGAAGAUAAUAAGGCUCUUAGCAUUGUGAGAAGAGAUGAAAGGCUAAUUAGACAGAUACAGUUUGCAUAUAAAAACAGAUAUAUUAUUAGUAUUGAUGGUGUUAGUCGAAGUGGUGUUAUAAAAGGAGCAAAGCACUACUUAGAUUUUUUAAAUUGUAACCGUUUGGUUGAUUAUAGAACUUCUUGUGUUACGUUACAGUUAGAAAUAAAAAUAAAAAGCAUUGACCCAUCCGCAAAAACACAACAAUGUAAAGACACAUAUACGUACUUAAAUGUUAAUCCAAUUGAUAUAAUGGCAAAAGCUCAGAAUAAGUUACACUAUGAAUAUUCAUAUGUACAACAAGAAGAUUUUAGUUUUUUAGAUAAAUUAGGAAUCUUUGAGAGAGCUGAUUAUCAUGUGGAAAAGUCACGUUUAUUGAAAGGUAAGAUUGUUCAAUGUGGACAGUACAGAUAUAGAAUAGUUAAAGAAAUAAGAAAAGCUAUAUAUGGGACUGUAUAUUUAUGUGAAGCGUUGGAUAGUUAUGGAAAUAGUUUUUCACCAAUUCGAAAAGCUAUUAAAGUUAUAUCGAAAGAAGCAGUUGAAAUAUGGAGAUUCAAAUCACCAGAAGAUCCAUUAUCGGAAUAUUUUUUUAGAGAUGGCAUGAGUGGUCAUAGUUUACGUUUUUUACAUGCAAAAAAUUUGGCUUUAAAAGAUUUAUCUUUGGAAAAUGUAUUAUUGUUUGAAAAUGAAGAAAAUGGAUUAGUUUAUCCAGUUAUAAAUGAUCCAGGUCAGGCAACUUAUUUUCAUUUAGAUGGAAAAGGAGAAGUUAAGUUAGAGCCAUAUCAUAAAAUUUUUGGUAAGAUUAAUAGACCACCUGAGAUUAAUCAACAGAUAGCUUUUGAUCCAGUAAAAGUGGAUAUGCAUAAUAUUGGAUAUAUGUUGUAUUAUAGUUUAACAAAACAUUAUUUAUUUACUUAUGCAGCACCAGAUGAUAUAGAAUGGAAUUUACUUUUUAAUAAAAAUUAUGUAGAAUUAUUAAAACGAACAAAUGGAACACAUUUAUCAAAUGAAGUAUUAGAUUUAAUUUUUCAUUUAGUAGAACCGAAUUUUAAAAAAAGGUAUGAUUUACAUAAUGCUUUAAAUCAUAUUUGGUUUAAAGGACUUCUUUCACCUGUACAUAAUUAUAACAUAUAUUUAGGUUCUGAACAUUCUGUCACAUAUUCUGAUGAAAAUAGAGUGAAAUUUUUAUCCGAAGUAGAACUUUAUACUAGAAGUAAUAAUAUUAUUUUUGAAAAAAAUUCGAAUGUUGAAUUUAUGAUUACAGAAAGAUUUUCUUUUACACCUAUUAUGAAUAAAGAUGUG
Piliocolobus tephrosceles (Ugandan red Colobus) is the source of this 1698-nucleotide long non-coding RNA. The record is from Ensembl. Lineage: Eukaryota; Metazoa; Chordata; Mammalia; Primates; Cercopithecidae.